UCGGUCUUCACAUUUUGCACUCACCCCUUUGUGCAUGGCCUUGAAAGUGCUCAUCUGGGAUACAGUGUGAGUGCAGACGUGAUUGCAACUGCAAGCAUUUUGUGCCCAUGCCCUGGGCAUCCAAGCCUCUCCAUAUCCCAUAUAUUGGACAGGAAGACAGAGGACAGUCUCUUUGAAGUCACCAAAUACCUCAGCGACUGCAGGUCCUGGGCGGGAUCUCCUGCCACCCCUAAAAACCUGACACGUGAAUCUGGGACCUCUGGACCUUCUACUCUGAUUGAGGUGGAGAGGUUCGGUGGAAAGAGGGCUUAGCCAUCGUGGCCCACUAAUCAAUUCAGGUCUCCUCCAGGCCUGUGGGCUUCCUGGAGGAGAUGCUCAGCGCCCUCUCUCGUGCUCUGAAGAGGGAAGGCGGGCGCGCAGCUCCUUGGAGAAUCCCCAUCACCGCAGAAAUCGCCGAAAUUGGCUGCAGCCAGUGAAGACGCCAGGAAUUUGCACCUUGCUCUGUGACCUAAAGCAGAAAUGACAUGAACAUUGACAAAUUUGACAAGGAAAUUUGUGCAAAAAACAACUUCUGUUUGGCUGGCCAAGCGGCAAAUAUGU
RNAcentral lists this long non-coding RNA (600 nucleotides) under Monodelphis domestica (gray short-tailed opossum). RNAcentral's name for it is "lncRNA (ENSMODG00000039055.1)". Lineage: Eukaryota; Metazoa; Chordata; Mammalia; Didelphimorphia; Didelphidae. The record is from RNAcentral.